This 253-nucleotide ribosomal RNA is filed under the name uncultured bacterium. RNAcentral describes it as "partial 16S ribosomal RNA". It matches the Rfam family "Bacterial small subunit ribosomal RNA", at positions 524 to 776 of the family's 1533-position model. The record is from RNAcentral.
UACGUAUGGGGCGAGCGUUGUCCGGAGUUACUGGGCGUAAAGCGCACGCAGGCGGUCUGCUAAGUUUGGAGUGACAGUUGGUGGCUUAACUGCCAAAGUGCUUCGAAAACUGACAGACUUGAGGGCUUCAGAGGGACACGGAAUUCCGGGUGGAGUGGUGAAAUGCGUAGAGAUCCGGAGGAACACCAAAGGCGAAGGCAGUGUCCUGGGGAGUACCUGACGCUCAGGUGCGAAAGCCAGGGGAGCGAACGGG